This 261-nucleotide ribosomal RNA is filed under the name uncultured archaeon. Its description in RNAcentral is "partial 16S ribosomal RNA". It matches the Rfam family "Archaeal small subunit ribosomal RNA", at positions 748 to 1009 of the family's 1478-position model. The record is from RNAcentral.
CAGCCGUAAACAAUGUGCGUUAGGUGUGUCGGUAACCACGUGUUACUGAUGCGCCGAAGAGAAAUCGUGAAACGCACCACCUGGGAAGUACGGUCGCAAGGCUGAAACUUAAAGGAAUUGGCGGGGGAGCACCACAACAGGUGGAGCCUGCGGUUUAAUUGGAUUCAACGCCGGGAAGCUCACCGGAUAGGACAGCAGAAUGAUUGCCGGGCUGAAGACCCUGCAUGACUAGCUGAGAGGAGGUGCAUGGCGUAGACGUCU